RNAcentral lists this long non-coding RNA (6517 nucleotides) under Homo sapiens (human). RNAcentral describes it as "HSALNT0152377". The record is from RNAcentral. Lineage: Eukaryota; Metazoa; Chordata; Mammalia; Primates; Hominidae.
UCACAAGUGUCAUCACAUGUGGUUCUCAGCAUGGGAAUUAUUGUAGCCUGUCUUUAAAAAAAUCUUCAUUCUCAUUUUCACACAGAAUUGCUGUUUAUCAGCGUCAAAAUGACAGGAAAGAGCACUCAUGUUCUGUGUUGUGAACAAGGGGAGUGUUAGGAAACUGGUCAAAGGAGAUGAGGAGUGAGUACUCAGAGCACAGCAAGAAAAUCUGAGACACAGAUGUCACUCCCUGCUGGGCAGCAGUCUUUUGCACUGAUGGGUGGGUGUUGGGGAAGGGAAGAGGCCUUCAGCCGGACCAGUGCACACUGUGAACAUUCACUGAAACACACCCUGUUGGCACUUAAGAAGCAUUUGCCCCUUUCAAAGACAUUUGGACUCAAGAAGGCAGAGUUGCAGAAAACGUAACGGGCCACACUGCAGGGGCAGGCAGUGGAUUGCAAGUCUCAAGCCCAGGGUUCUCCCCUCCUUGCCUGGGUUGUGUGAAAAAGUCAUUUCCUAACUCCUAUCCGAUAUCCUCAUGAGUUCUCGGUUUUGUCCCAACUCUAAAACUGAAUGGUCCAGCGAGCAUUUCUAUGAAAUGCCUCCACAGUGGCCACUGGGAGGGGAGUGACCUCCACACAGUGACUGCCUGUCUGGAUGCUCCCAGGCCUUUUGUCCUCCGAGACAGAGCUGCCUCCUUACAUGCAGCCCUCUUCUGCUGUGCAACUCUACCUCGAUCUUAGCUGAGAAGAUCAGCGGAGAGCAAUUCAAGCAAAAUCAUGGUAAACUUACCAAAACCAAACCAAACAAACAGUAAAUGCUUUGGAGAUCUUUCUGAGGACGCGAUCUUUUAUCACGGGGCAAAAACUUAAAUGAUUUUCAAUCAGUAACUUCAUCUAAGAGGGAUGUUGAGGCAAAAUAUCACACUCAGGCACUGAAGAAGGGCAGAAUUCUUGUUUGCUUCCUCCCUUGUCAAGUUAGUCAGUCAAUGCUUUCUCAAGAUGCUCACACAUGGCUUUGAUACAGGAUUUGAAUGAGUCUUUUUCUGAGCCACUGAUACAAAAAGUAUAUUGUGGAAGUGUCUUGUUUCAAUUCUGCAAUCGCUUCUGUAUGUGUUUGAAGUCCUAGACCCCAGGAGGAGAGACAAUCAAAUUAGCCAAAGGUAAUUUGUGAAGACUGGCCAUAGAAGGUGGUGGCUAAAAGUCCUCUGGCCCCUGCUCUCUGAGCAUGCCCACAGAAAGUCCUGGGCCACACUGACUGCUGAGAAACAUCAUCUCAGGGCUUGGAUCCCCUGUUCAGAGGACAGAUGCUCUUCCACCCAAUCACUGAACAGUAGAGGAAUGGCGGCUCCAUGCUGUGUCUGGCAGAGCUCUCAGUCUCUGCACUUGAGACCCUAGGCCGUCAUAGACGUGAAGGCUCUUCAGUGUCAUCACGUGGAGACAGACGGUAGGAAUCCUGCAAAUGAGCAGAAAGGAUCUGAUGAUGAAAGUUUGUUCUGAAGCUACUACAAACUCAAGUCAGUGAGUUGCUUCUGUACUAGCUUUUUUUUUUUUUUUUUUUGAGAUGGAGUCUUGCUCCCACCUUGAAGUGCAGUGGUGUGAUCUCCUCUCACUGCAGCCUCCGCCUCCUGGGUUCAAGCAAUUCUGCCUCAGCCUCCCAAGUAACUGGGACUACAAGUGCGCGCCACCACGCCUGGCUAAUUUUUGUAAUUUUGGUAGAGACGGGAUUGCACCAUAUUGGCCAGGCUGGUCUCGAACCCCCAACCUCAGGUGAUCUACCCGCCUCAGCCUCCAAAAGUGCUGGGAUUACAGGCGUGAGCCACCGCGCCCGGUCAGACUCUCUCGUUUCUAGGAGGGACGGUCUUGGAGGCUCCAAGGAGAAGGCGUCGCCUGGCCCCAGGAAGCGCCCUGGUGCAGCGUCCCUCCAUUUCCCCAUCUCCUGCGGGGCCCUCCCAGGGCGGGCUCCACGCCUGCCCUGCGCGCCUGCGCAGGAGCCUUGAGGCGGGCGGGGUUCCAGCGCGCAGCCGGCCGCCCUCAACCGCUCCCAGCAUCGGUUGCCGGUGGUUCGGGGCAGGGAGACGACGCAGCGCGAGCGGAAAGGGCGGUUACCCAACGGCCUUAGCUCUCAUGGCGUCCUCCGUGGUGUUACCUAAAAAUAAAGUUAUUUGUGAUUAGAAGGUAAUCGCCUCCUGGUCAUGCUUCCGCUGGUCAACAGUGUCUGCGGGGCGACCCCAUCCUUGUGGCCAGAGAGGGCCUGUGGCUGCGCUCAAGGCGGGAGCGGUCCUUAGCGGGGCCCUGCGGGACGCCCAGGCCGCGCUCCUUUCCCUUGCUCGCCUGGCCUUGAAGUGAAGGGGGAGGUUUAACAAUGCAGUGGGAACCCCAAAGUUUGUCUCGGCCGUGCUGCUCACAUUCCAAACAAUGCAAAAGGUUGAGGAAAACCUCAGCAGUUGAAACCGUGAUGCAUUUCAGCAAAGAAGUAGCUCCUGUCCUCGUAAAAUCAGUGAAGUUCUCACGGACGACCUCAUUGAAAGUUUUCAUGGGCUGAGCUGCUGACUUCAGCCUGGGAACUGAGGCCAACAUCGGAGUCUCCUCGGCACACAAGUUUGAAAGAAGUCCUAGUGACUUCAAGCUCAGAACCAUGGACGGCAGGGCUCCCUCUGGAUGUGGAAUUCUCCGUCCCUUUCCAGGGAGGGAACAAAGCCCACAAGCACCGAGACUCCUUCAGGGUGAGCAAAGGCCUGGAAAAACCUGUAUGCAGAUAAAGAAAAGGAAAGAAAGAGAUAAUCAGUGCAUGCAGUUGUCAGCUGGCUGGGACCUGAGGAGAGUCACUUGUGGAGGCAACUGGUCUUUAUCCCCAUUGUCCGGUACAAGGCAGGCAUUAAUCCUGUGAUCCUUAUCUGAAGCUCAGGUUUGAUUUUAUUCUUUUCUUAAGUACCUACUGUUAUCCCCAAGCUUAUAAUAAUAGUUUAAUUGUUACAGCCAGUAUCUCACCUUCAGAAGUAAGAUGCUUAGGAAACCAAGACAAGGAACUGUGUGUUGCAAACAGCAUCACCCUGGAGAAGAGGUGGCAGGAGGUGACCUACAGAAAAUGGAGUAAUAGCCUAGAGCAAGAAACACAGAACAAAAGAGAAAUGAGGGGUUAGGCAACCUCCUGGAGCACCAAUGGGACAAGCACAUAUUCAGGGGCCUCCUAACAGACUCGACUUCCAGCAUCCUCAGAUGGUGCUAGACACGUUACAUAGACGUUCAAGAGUAGAGAACUCAGGGACUUCUGAUUUAUAUCAAGAAAUGCAUACACAGCAGACGUGUGCCUGUGGAGUGGAAUUCUGGAAAAGCUCACAGCCCAGAACAUAAUGCAGACUCCCCCAGCCACAGCACCUUCCAAACCUGAGAAGAGUGCUGAUUCUCCAUCUGAGCACCCAUUCUCCUGCAACAUCAGGGGAGAGGAUUUCACCUAAGGGUCAGACCAGCAUCUCCAAACCCAGCUCCCCACCUUUGCCUGUUGGUGGCACUUGUGGGAGAAGGGGAGAUGGUAUGAAAAGAGCCACAACAGGAGUCACCUGGACAGGGUGGAGCUUGAUGGAAACUGACAUUUGUGCCCAUUGGAGGCAAAUGUAGAAUUUGGUAUCUUCCGUAGCGUCAGGCACAUGAAACUCUCCAGUGCCCAUGACUUUUGACAGUGACUUCAGAGCACAUCUGGGAGACCCAUGUGGCCCAGGCUCCACACAGGCAGGAGCUCAGCUUCACUCACAGCAGGAUUCCUAGUGCCAAGAACACCAUAGGUGCAUAGCAGGUGAUCAAAAUAAUUGUAUGUGGCUGAAUCAGUGAGAGGUAAGAGAGAGGACUUGAUCCUAGCUGCAAACUAAGAGACCUCAUUAAAACCUAACAUGUGGCUGGGUGUGGUGGCUCACGCCUGUAAGCCCAGCACUUUGGGAGGCCGAGGGGUGGAUCACCUGAGGUCAGGAGUUCAAGACAAGCCUGGCCAACGUGGUGAAAACCCAUCUCUACUAAAUAUACAAAAAAUUGGCUGGGCAUGGUGGCAGGUGCCUGUAAUCCCAGCUACUUGGGAGGCUGAGGCAGGAGAAUCACUUGAACCCAGGAGGCGGAGGUUGCAGUGAGCCGAGAUUGCACCACUAUACUCCAGCCUGGCAAUAAGAGCAAAAGUCCGUCUCAAAACAAAAAACGAAAAAACAAAAAACACCUAACAUGUGAGGCCCAGCAUGGUGGCUCAGACCUGUAAUCCCAGGAUUCUGGGAGGCUGAGGCUGGAAGAUUGCUUGAGCCCAGGAGUUCAAGACCAACCUGGGCAACAUAGCGAGACCCUGUCUCUGGGAAAAAAAAAAUUACCUGGGCAUAGUUACAGUCCUAGCUACUCGGGAGGCUGAGGCAGGAGGAUUGCUGGAGCCCAGGAGUUUGAGGUUACAGUGAGCUAUGAUUGCACCACUGUAUUCCAGCCUGGGCAAUGGAGCGACACCCUGUCUGUCUUCAAAAACUAUAUAUAUAUGGUGUAUGUGUGUGUAUGUAUGUGUAUGAUAUCAGAAAAAAAUAACCUAUUCAUGGUGGGGGAAAAAAGAGCCUGACUUUUGAGGUGUAUAAGCGUGGAGUCGGGUUCAAAUCAGGCUCUGAUCUUUCUGGCUCUGUGAUAUGGGGCAGGGCAUAUUACCAAGCUCAGCCUCAGCAUCUCUACCUGUGAAAUGGGCUUGAUUCAGUACACCACACAGGGCUGCUGUAGUAUGUAUGAAUUAAUGUUUGUGAAAUAUUUAGCAUGGUGCCUGACACAUGGUACUCAGUAAGAAACAACUAUUGCUAUUAAGUGCUUUGCACUUUGGUUUUCACAGAGCUAACAAUUUUUACUGUCUAGCUUUGUGUCUUUGAAAGAUUUUUGAGCUCUGAGAAUGACCUUUUAAGACCUCAGCACUUCUAGAAGAGGUCACACUUUGAGCUUCAAUAGCUAGCAUUUUUGUCAAUUAGUUAACAGUGUGCUGAAAGCAAGUCCCUGUAGAGAGUGUUCACGGGCAUGAGCCACAGGGAAUACAAUGUGAGCCCCACCGUUGUGCAGCUUUGUGACUUCCUGGAGAGCCUACAUGCAAACAGAAAAGUCCCAGGAUAAAGAAAUGUGGAUAUUCCACACAUUUUAAAAAGACCUGGAGGGAUGAAGAGGACAAGCUGUCCCAGUAGGCCCCGGACUGCCCUGGUUUUAACACUAAAUGUCCGACAUCCUGAUAACCCUUACUCCCAGGCAAAUCAGGCCAGUUGGUCAUCUAAUUGGAGGUUAUCAAAGGAGGUGGGUUUUAGCAUCCUCUUUCCUUUCCUGUUACAUUGAGACCAUGGGGUGCUAUUGAAUAAACUUGAUUCGGUUUCUUCAAAAAAAGCCAGAAAUUGAUCUAAUAGGUUUUGCUCAUAUUUGGUAAUUGAAUUGGACUGUAUACAGUCUGCACGUUUACCUUAUUUUCCAUUAUAUAAUGGUACCAAAUAUCACAAUGAUUUUCAAAAAUUAAUGCUUUUAGUGAUGGAUUACUAGGUGUUGAAAUGCUUUAUAAUAUACUUAUGAAAACAUUUAUACAAAUAAUUUCAUCCUCCACAUGACAUUUAGAAAAGUUUAGUCUGGCUGGGUACAGUGGCUCACUCCUGUAAUCCCAGCACUUUGGGAGGCCAAGGCAGGUGGAUCACCUUAGGUUAGGAGUUCGAGACCAGCCUGGCCAACAUGGUGAAACCCCGUCUCUACUAAAAAUACAAAAAAUAGCCCAGUGUGGUGGCGCACACAUGUAGUCCUAGCUACUUGGUAGGCUGAGGCAGCAGAAUCACUUGAAUCUGGGAGGCAGAGGUUGCAGUGACCCAAGAUCACGCCACUGCAUUCCAGCCCAGGAGACAGGGUGAGACUCUGUUUCAAAAAGAAAGAAAAGAGAAGAGAAAAGAUGAAAAGGAAAUGUUUAGUUUGAAAUUCCGUUACCGAAAGUUCUCGGGGGUUGGGGGAGGUGGGAGGCAAUAUCUUUUUGCUAUUAUAUUUCUUAUAGUGCAGUGUCAGUGAAACUAUGUCAUCCUUUGUAAAAUCAAUAAAAUCCCUGUCAAUUUAUCUGGCCAUUCGAUACUUUAUCAUCUAUAAUUUUUCAAGACAUCUAUUUGGUUGAAGUGUCUUCAUCAAUUGAUGGACUGUACAUCAGUCUGGUUUGGCAGUUUACAUUGUAUUUUCCUCUGAGUUUAUCUUCUCUGUUUCAUGGACUUCACUAGGGUCAGUGGUUCUUAAGUUGGAUGAUAAGAAACCCCAAUCUUCCAUACAGGGUACAGUUUGGCCAUUGGUUUUAACUCAGGUCAUGGCAUAGCAGUUGCAUUUCUAUGGAAGCAAAGCUAACCUUGGAAAUGGACUCUAAUCAAAGACUCACUAACAUCAAACAAGUCAUAACCACAUUAAGUAAUGUCUUAAAGGCAAAAAUCAAUAGUAAUUCACUUUGAGCAUUUAAAGAGUCAGGCUCUCAGUCACUGUCUUUGAGAUUAUGAGAGCAUAGUAGAAAACAGCUUGUCCAACUGCCUUAUUUAAUA